This 515-nucleotide ribosomal RNA is filed under the name uncultured Glomeromycotina. Its description in RNAcentral is "SSU rRNA". It matches the Rfam family "Eukaryotic small subunit ribosomal RNA", at positions 569 to 1078 of the family's 1831-position model. The record is from RNAcentral. Lineage: Eukaryota; Fungi; Glomeromycota.
AGCAGCCGCGGUAAUUCCAGCUCCAAUAGCGUAUAUUAAAGUUGUUGCAGUUAAAAAGCUCGUAGUUGAAUUUCGGGAUUGACGUGAUGGUCAUGCCUUAAGGGGUAUGAACUGUUACAGUUGAUUUCUCACCUUCUGGAGAAACUUGAUGUCCUUUAUUGGGUGUCUUGCGGAUCCAGGACCUUUACCUUGAAAAAAUUAGAGUGUCUAAAGCAGGCAUUUUUGCUCGAAUACAUUAGCAUGGAAUAAUAGAAUAGGACGGCAUGGUUCUAUUUUGUUGGUUUCUAGGAUCACCGUAAUGAUUAAUAGGGAUAGUUGGGGGCAUUAGUAUUCAAUUGUCAGAGGUGAAAUUCUUGGAUUUAUUGAAGACUAACUACUGCGAAAGCAUUUGCCAAGGAUGUUUUCAUUAAUCAAGAACGAAAGUUAGGGGAUCGAAGACGAUCAGAUACCGUCGUAGUCUUAACCAUAAACUAUGCCGACUAGGGAUCAGACGAUGUUAAUUUCUUAAUGACUCG